Molecule: small nucleolar RNA, 121 nt
Filed under: Marmota monax (woodchuck)
Lineage: Eukaryota; Metazoa; Chordata; Mammalia; Rodentia; Sciuridae
Source: RNAcentral
GUGCAGGCGUGGGCUGGGCACACUCCUCUGAGUCGUUCCAACCCACCCUCUGUGAGCGAGAGAAUCAGGACUGGUUUGGGGUGUCCCACAGACGCAGGACACCACAGCUGCCAGCACAACU